RNAcentral lists this long non-coding RNA (855 nucleotides) under Triticum aestivum (bread wheat). RNAcentral describes it as "long non-coding RNA (TAES_LNC013514)". The record is from RNAcentral. Lineage: Eukaryota; Viridiplantae; Streptophyta; Magnoliopsida; Poales; Poaceae.
ACCACCCAUCAAUCUUUCUCAAUCUAAAAGGUUGGCCAAUGAGAGAGAUGGCUCAGCGGAGGAGGACCGUGGGCAACCAAAUCCAAACAAAUAUGCAGAUGGAACGCUUACAUGAUAGACUAGCUAAAAACAAUCGGAAGUGGGUCAGUGGGUGCAAGAUUGUAAUGCAUAAAGCAUGCACAUUCGCAAAGGCUCCCAAGUUUAGAACACUGUGGUGCGCAGAGAAUAACUAGCUAGCAGAAAUACAACAAAUCGAGAACAUGGGAGGAUAUACAGUAUCAUAUACUGGAAGACCUUUCUGUGCCAGUAUUAUCAUCAUAUCUCAAAGUUUCAAAGAUGACAUUAUGGGAGUGGAUUGACAAAACUAUACUGGCCAGUUGAAAUGAUGGUUCCAAAUUCUAACAGAAAUUUAGGAUAGAUUUCAGUUUAGGGAGCGACUCAAUUAUCUCUGCAAACAGCAUACCUCCCAAAUUUACUAAACUGCAUAUCUCGAUAUAAACUAGCUCCAAGAAAUUGAGAAUCUCAGAUUACUGAAUUUGACGAACGAUUGCCCAUGUUGCGGGUCAGGUAAAUUUUUUGGAGAAGCAUUUAAACAGCAAAGGGUGAAUAAUUUUGCUUACAAACCAAGUACGCACCGGGGAUUAGGGCAAGGCAGAGAGGGCACGGCGCGACCAGAAAUUCGCAGGAGACGGUGCAGCUUGCAGCGGCGGCCAAACGCAACUGACACGCUGGGAUGGGAGAAUAUCGCGCGACGAUGAAAACCGCCAAGAGCCCGCGAUCGUCUACCGGCAGCCUUGCUCCGGCACGGCGGCGCCGACGCGAGGCAGCGGAGAGACCGGUGAGUUUUCUUUUUUG